This is a long non-coding RNA of Mytilus californianus (California mussel), 1082 nucleotides long. RefSeq lists it as uncharacterized. The record is from RefSeq and is a predicted model, not a curated record. The transcript is spliced from 3 exons. Lineage: Eukaryota; Metazoa; Mollusca; Bivalvia; Mytilida; Mytilidae.
AGAAAAACAACUUUUAAGUGAUCAGAAAUUUUAAACUGACAUUUUACAUUACUCGAUCAAAUUUGGAUGUGAUCUUUCGAACAGAGGUAUUUGUAUAGAGUAAGCUUCCUGUUCAAUGGAUAAUGAAGAAAGGCCUAUGAUGUAAAGUGUAUGGAUUAUAGUGAAUAGCGUAUACAGUAAUACCAAUAGAAAGGUUAUGGAGUAUGGUUUAUUUGGUGUGGAUUAUGAUGAAUAGUUUAUGGUGUAUGGGGUGUGGAGUUUUAUAUAUUGUUUAUGAUGUAUGGGAUGUAGAGUAUAAUGAAUAGUUUAUGGAGUAUGAAGUUUGGAGUAUGAUGAAUAGUUUAUAGAGUUUGGAGUAUGAUGAAUAAUUGAAGAUGUGUGGGGUGUGGAGUAUGAUGAAUAGUCUAUGGAGUUUGGAGUAUGAUAAAUAAGUUAUGAUGUAUGGGGUGUGGAGUAUAAUGAAUAGUUUAUGGAGUAUGGUGUAUGGGAUGUUGAGUAUUAUGAAUAGUUUAUUGAGUUUGAUGAAAAGUUUGUUCUGUAUGUGGUGUAGAGUAGGGUGGAUAGUUUAUGGAGUAUGGUGUAUAAUGUGUGGAGCGAAUGAGAAAUUUGUUAUUAACUCUACAGAAGUAUAUAACAAGGUCUGUUUCUGACCUCAUUGUAGCUGGUGAGACAUAUGUCAGUACAGUCUUAAGAAUUAUAUAACAUGGUCUAUAUCUAACCUCAUUGUAGCCGGUGAGACAAAUGUCAGGACAGUUUUAAGACGUAUAUAACAUGGUCUAUAUCUGACCUCAUUGUAGCUGGUGAGACAAAUGUCAGGACAGUUUUAAGGGGAAUAUAACAUGGUCUAUAUCUGACCUCAUUGUAGCCGGUGAGACAAUUGUCAGUACAGUCUCAAGAGGUAUAAAAAAUAUGGCCUAUAUCUGACUUCAUUCUAGCCAGUGAGACAUAUGUCAGUACAGUCUUAAGGGGUCUAUACUUAACCUCAUUGUAGCAUGUGAGACAAAUGUCAGAACAGUCUUAAGAGGUAUAUAACAUGGUAUAUAUCUGACCUCAUUGUAGCCGGUGAGACAGCUGUCAGUACA